This is an RNA transcript of Crotalus tigris (Tiger rattlesnake), 9693 nucleotides long. It is a transcript of the gene named zinc finger protein 827, with no coding region annotated. NCBI's taxonomy places the organism in Eukaryota, Metazoa, Chordata, Lepidosauria, Squamata, Viperidae. The transcript has 15 exons. The record is from RefSeq and is a predicted model, not a curated record.
CUAAAGCGAAAAGGUUGUAUAAAACCCAGCUGAAGGCCUAGGACUGGGGCGACGGCGCGUGUGCCCACAGAGAGGGCUCUGAGUGCCAUAGGUUCACCACCACUGGUAUAAAUUAUUAUGACAAAGCUCUAAAGCAGCUUUUCCUAGGCUCAUGUUUUUCAAAUAUGUUGGAAUUACAGCUUCCAGAAUUCUUAUGCCUGUUGUUCAUUCUGGCUAGGACUAGGUUAUUCUUUGAUUUGUACUCAUAACAUAUAUGUGAACAUUAGAACAUCUUGUAUAUAAACACUGAGUAGAUUCAACGAUAGGGAAAACAACACCAAGGUCCAUUGAUAAAAAAAAGAUGGAAAGAAAAGAUCUAAAAUUUAAAUCCUGGGAGGGAGGGAGAGAUGGAUGGAUGGAUGAUAGAUGAAUAAAUGAUGGAUGCAUGGAUCAAAGGAUGGGUGGAUGUGUAGGAUGGUGAGAGAAGCAGACUGAUUUGUGUGUUCUAUGAUAGGCAUAUCUCUACAUGUAUUUUUUUGUCUGCUAUGUCAUAUUUGGAAGCUUCUGCUGUAAGCAAAUUCCUAAAUACUGUACAGGGUUGAUUGUUUUCAUUAUUGAGAUUUAUUUGUAUGUCUGAUGUGAAGUCAGAUAGCAAGAUUUGCCUGUUUCUAUUCAUAAUACUAAGGGAAGAAAUGCUACACUUCAACAGCUUUCAUAAUGAUUACAGAUCCCAUUAAGUAUACAUUAUAUCACCUGUGCCUUCUCAGGACCAGGUUACCACCCAGAUGGACCAGGUAGUUCAGCAAGUGGGGCAGAAUCUAGCACAACCAGCAGUCCCUUUACCAGUUCUGGCCCAAGAUUCGUCAGCUGUUGGAACAGCAACUUUCUGAUGCUGUGUGCUCAUCUUCACCUACCUGGCAAAUAUGAUGGGAAUCCUGGCAAAUUUGCUACCUUCCUGAAUUAUAAAUCUCUAUAAACUUAAAGCUUUUUCCAUGGAUCAGUCUCACAUAUCAUAGGUAAUUAGUCUAAUAAUGAAACAGAACUGCAAAAUAGCCAUAGUUGAAAAAUUGGCAACUUCCUUUCUGGUACAGAACAGCACAGGCUUGGACAACUGCAUCAAUGUUAUGACACUGAUAAAGUCUAACUUCAAUGAUUCAAUUACACAAGUGACCCCUAGUUGUGGAAACUAUAAUCUCCAACAGGAUGGUACUAGACAGGAAGAAGCCGAAGAGGAGCUUAGUGAGGAAGAGCCUUGGUUUGGGAACUCUUCAGAAACCCCAUCAGAAGCAUCUUAUGGAGAAAUCCAGGAGAACUUCAAAUUAUCCUUUGAGGAUAGGAUCCAAGAACAAUCCACAUCUCCAGAUACUUCUUUGGGUAGUGGGACUCCUAGCAGCAACACAUUGGAAUUGGUGGUUGUUGAGAAUGAGGGCAUGAGAGAUGUAUUACAGAACAAGGAACAUCUCUCUUCUAGCGUAUCUUCUAUCUGUGAUGAUGAUAAUAAUCCUGGCCCAAACAAGCCGUUGAGUAGUAACUUGAGACGUCUGUUGGAGGCUGGCUCUCUCAAGCUAGACACUACUAUCACAGUUAAUGGCCGGGUUGAGUCCCCAGUAAAUCUUGGCUCAAAUAUCUCUUUUUCUCCAGCUACACAUCAUGCCCAGCAGCUAAGUGUCCUUGCAAGAAAGCUAGCUGAAAAACAGGAACAAAACGAUCAGUAUGGCCCAAACACAGGUUUCAUAUGGAAUCAAGGCAAAUGGUUGCCUAACUCAAUGCCCUCUUGCAGCUUGUCUCCAGAUUCAGCAAUUCUAAAAUUGAAAGCCGCUGCCAAUGCAGUCCUUCAGGACAAGUCUCUUUCUCGAACUGAAGAUCCAACAGUAAGGUUUGAAACCUUCCCUUCACCAUUUAGUUCUCAAUCAGCAAGCUCCACCUUGGCUGCAUUAUCAAAGAAGGUCAGUGAAAGAAGCAUGACUCCUGGUCAGGACCACUCACCACCAGCAAAUUCUUUCCUUUCUCUCACCUCAAUGACUUCUUCAGCAGCCCUACUCAAGGAGGUGGCUGCAAGAGCUGCAGGCAGCCUUUUGGCUGAAAAGAAAAAGUCACUGAUUGUAGAAACCCCCCUGCAGCUUUCAGACAUGAAGCAAGAGAAAGUGACUCCACCACAGUCUUUGGAACUAUUGUUACUCCCAGCCCCUAAAGGAAGAGCUUCUAAAACCACAAAUUCAGCCUCAGAAGAAGAAAGUGGAAAACCUUUCCAAUGUCCAAUCUGUGGCUUGGUUAUAAAAAGGAAGAGCUACUGGAAACGGCACAUGGUGAUCCAUACAGGCUUAAAAAGUCAUCAGUGUCCUUUGUGUCCAUUUCGUUGUGCACGGAAAGACAAUUUGAAGUCACAUAUGAAGGUUCACCAACACCAGGACCGGGGAGAGACAUUUCAGUGCCAGCUGUGUCCAUUUACUUCCUCUCGCCAUUUCAGUCUGAAACUCCACAUGCGUUGCCACCAACACUUUCUGAGGACAGAAGCCAAAGUGAAGGAAGAGAUUCCAGAAAUGGAUGUCAAGGUCUCACCACUACUGAGUGAUAACUCCAGAAUGGGUCAGGAGGUGGAUGGAGGAACAGACCAUGUAGGGACUACUGCUGCCUCUAGAUCUCCUGAUGCACUUGGGCAGGUGGGAACUAUCAUUCCAUCUCUGCUAGUCAAAGAAGAACCCAAAGAUGACAGCAGUGCCCCUAGCCCCUCUUUAGCCCUCAAUGUUGUUGACAGAAUUGCCAACAGUACAAAGCUAAAAGACUCAAUUGACUUUGUGACCAAUACAGCAUCAGCACUUUUCAGUCAAGAUAUAUCGGUCAAGAUGGCUUCAGAUUUUCUCAUGAAACUUUCAGCUGCAAAUCAAAAAGAACCCUUGACGCCCACAUUUAAAGUGAAAGAAGAACCGAAAGAUGAGGACAGUGCAAGCUCCACGUUGUCUCAAACCAGUUACGGUUUUAGUCAUGAACCUGAAGUAUCUGCUCCAAGUAUUCCUAAGGAGACUCUCAAACCACAAGAAGUGCCAGCAAAUGUAAUGCAACAGGAUAUGUCAGUCAAAGCAGCAUCUGAACUUCUCAUGAAAUUAUCAGCAGAAAGUUGCAAGGAAUCCCAGACAAUAAAGAUUAAAGAAGAACCAAUGGAGGUUGAGAUUCAUGACUCCCAUGCUUCUGUUUCACCUAGCCAAAACGUCAGUUACAGCACUUUACUCAGGCAAGAGAUAACUGAACAGGUUCAAAAGAUCCCUGAAAGCCGUGUAGUUCCGGAGAGAAACCUCUUUAGCCAAGAUAUAUCUGUGAAAAUGGCUUCAGAAUUACUUUUUCAAUUGUCAGAAAAAGUGAGCAAAGAGCACAAUCAAUCUAAAGAUAAUACCAUCACAAUUACAACUAGCCCAUUUUUUUCUGAAGAUACUUUUAGACAAUCACCAUUCACUUCCAACUCAAAAGAUCUUCUGUCUAAUGAGAGUGCUGUUCAGGGAAGAACAUCAGUUCUAGAAACAGAGAAGAUAGGACUGGAAACUGGAAAUGGGUUGCCGUCCUGGAAAUUUAAUGACCAGCUCUUUCCUUGUGAUGUAUGUGGAAAAGUGUUUGGCCGACAACAGACGUUGUCCCGACAUCUCUCCCUGCACACGGAAGAGAGAAAAUAUAAAUGCCAUUUGUGCCCAUAUGCUGCUAAGUGCCGUGCUAAUCUGAACCAGCAUCUGACUGUGCAUUCUGUGAAGUUGGUGAGUACAGACACUGAGGACAUUGUCAGCGCUGUCACAUCUGAAGGCAAUGAUGGAAAGAAGCAUCCUUAUUACUACAGUUGUCAUGUGUGUGGAUUUGAAACAGAGCUGAAUGUCCAGUUUGUCAGUCAUAUGUCGCUUCAUGUGGAUAAAGAACAAUGGAUGUUUUCUAUUUGCUGCACAGCCUGUGAUUUUGUUACCAUGGAAGAGGCAGAGAUGAAGGCUCAUGUUGCCACCAAGCAUACAGGUGAUAACCUCUCUCUGUGUCCAGGUGAAGAAAGGAAAACACCCAAUGAUUCAACCAGUCCUUCUUCUUCUUCCUUGUCAGCACUUAGUGAUUCUGCCAAUAGUAAAGAAGAUGCAGAUAUCAGCCCCAAGCCCAAGGGACCCAAUAACCUGCUAGUUAUUUCCGUAGUGCCUGGUAGUCAGACUCUAUUAAAUGCGGAAGAAAAAUCAGAGAAAGGUUUUGAAUGUGUUUUCUGUAACUUUGUCUGCAAAACAAAAACCAUGUUUGAGCGCCAUUUGCAAAUCCACCUGAUUACACGGAUGUUUGAAUGUGAUGUGUGCCACAAGUUCAUGAAGACUCCUGAGCAAUUACUGGAGCACAAGAAAUGCCAUACUGUCCCCACUGGUGGGCUCAAGUGUCCCUUCUGCAUUUAUUCCACAAACCGUCCAGCAGCGAUGGAAUGCCAUUUGAAAACCCACUACAAAAUGGAGUACAAGUGCCGGAUCUGCCAAGCAGUGAAAGCCAACCAGCUCGAGCUGGAAAUGCACGUUCGAGAGCAUCGCCUUGGCAACCACUACAAGUGUGAUCAGUGUGGCUAUCUUUCAAAGACUGCCAACAAGCUGAUAGAGCAUGUGCGUGUGCAUACAGGGGAACGCCCUUUUCACUGUGACCAGUGCAGCUACAGCUGCAAACGCAAAGACAAUCUCAACCUGCACAAGAAACUCAAGCAUGCGCCCCGGCAGACCUUCAGCUGUGAAGAGUGCCUCUUCAAGACCACCCACCCAUUUGUCUUCAGCCGCCAUGUGAAGAAACAUCAAAAUGGUGACUGCUCUGAAGAGGAGAAAAAAGGGCAGGGUGUGAAUUCUAAGGAAGCCAGGCCCCUGCUCGUGGCCAACAGUUCCCACAGCCUCUUGUCCCCUCUCUCAUUGAUGUCAGCCUCCCAUGCUUUACAGACAGUGGCCAUGUCAGCCGCUCAAAGUGGCCGGGCAGAGCUGAGGUCCUUGACCGUAAACGGCACUUCCCUGUGCUUUGAUAAAUACCGGAACUCUGAGUUUGCCCACCUCAUUCCCUUGACCAUGUUUUUCCCAAAAAACCACUUUGAAAUCACAUUCCAUUCACCUCAAUCACAGAGCCUACGUUUGGAUGACACUUCGCCAAAACACUCCUUCCUUGCCUAUCUCGGACUAACAGAAAGAGCAGAGGCUCUCUAGGACAGCCUCCUCUGUACCAAAAAUCCUCCACACCGCACCCCGUCACACCCACCAGACUCCAAGCAGAUUUUGUUUCAAACGAUAGAUCCAAGAGUUUGGCUGCCCAACCAAUUGUACAAUAUAUCAUUAGGAGUAAGACACAUUAAAGAACAUGGCUCCAUGUGUCUCCUUAAUACAUGGCCUUGAAGGCUGCUUUGUUAAACCUUCAGACAGAUGACCUCCUACAUAUUUCUACUUUCAGAGGCAUGUUUCUGUACUCUCACCUGAGAAACGUUUUUGUCUCUUAAGCUGAACAAGAGUGUCCUUAAUGGCAGUCAGCACUAGCUAAGAUGACCCUUUGAUGCAUUUGACUUUGGGUUGCGAAUCUGAGCAUUUCUAAAAAAAAGAGUUUGUGUGCCAUGGCAUUGCUUUUGCACAUCCUUUUGUACUGGCUUAUUUAAUAUGAACUUAAGCUGCCUUAUGCUGCAUCAGACAGUCCAUCAAGCCCAAUAUUGUCUAUUAUGAUUGACUCCUCUUCUCCAGGGUCUCAAAUAGAAGUCAUUUCUAGCAGCUGUUUCCUGAGAUUUCUUAACUAGAGAUGCUGGGGACUGAAUCUGGGAUCUUUAUACGUACAAAGCAUGUGCUCUACCACUGAGCUGUAGCCCCACCCCUGUGAAACAUUGUAGUCGUCCAUGCUUGCUCACCUUGCCUGCUUCUCUUUUAUUGCUCAGUUAUAGAAUGUAAGAAUGGCAAUCAAGAAGAACUAGCAUGGCAGUCAGUCCUGCUGGGAAUUUGCUAUGUUACAGCGGCUAGGUUAGUCUCACAUCUUAGAGUCUGAUGGUCAGGGCAAAAACAGAAGAGGGGAAAUUACUUUAGCCUUGCAAGGUGAUGCUAUUUCAUAUGAUAACUUUUUUCUUACAUGGAGAUAUUCUGUAUGGCCGUGCAGGUACACAUGUAAUAUGAAGGGCUUUUCUCUGUGUACACACUUGAGUAGCCAAGUUUUCAUACCUGCUGCUCCGUGGAUUUAUUCAUGUUCUGACCCUUCCCAGCAAAAAAAACCACUCCUAUUACCCUUGAAAUAAUACCGUCAAUGUGAUUAUCUCUAUGAAUGAAAAAAGAUAAUGUUUAAAGCAGUCCUGAAUACAUAAUAGUGAUGUAUGAGAAGGCAACUAGAUUUAUAAACAACAACUGUGUUGCAUACAUGCUCCCAAUUUGAUUGUUUGGUUACGUUCACGUGACUUGGUCCUUUUUAAAAAUAAUUUUGGCUACAAAUACCCAAUAGCAAGGUACAUACGAUAAGGCAUUUGUUUUAGACUGGACAUAUACAUUACAUUUAAAUUACUGCUUUCCUUGGUCAGAUAACGAGACAGAAACCUGAUCAUUUUGUCAACUCGCUUCUAGUCAACAAAGAAAAAUAUCUGAUUCAAAAAUAGCACUGUUCAAAUUUGAUGCAAGGCGACUACAGAAAAAUAUAGCAAACAGCCCUCAGACCACAAAAUCACAUCUACACAUUCUCAGUUGGUCUGAAUGCAGUGGUUAGCUUAGUUUGUGAGGGCAAGGAUGCACAUUUAGAAGUGAUUAAACCCAGAAGGAAUUUUUAAAAGGAAGGAUUUCUUAAAUUCUGGGCAAUAGGGCUCAGACUAAAUAAAGGCAGUUUUUGCACAGUGGUUGAGUCUUGCACUAGUAUGUUUCUCACUAGCAAAAAAAAAAGUAAAAGUAAGAAACAUAUCAAAGAUAAUGUUUCUUUUUUUUACUGAAAAAUAUCGUGCAAGUUCUUUCAAAUGGAAGGAAAAAAGGUGCUGUUUAAUGAUAGAAUUCUCUUUUAUAUGUCCAACUAUUCAGCUAUAUUGGCAACUUCAUGUUCUAUCCCCUUCAUGCUAUUUGUAUUUCUUUAUAACAUUUGCUAAUGUUUACUCAAGUAUACUCUUCUAGGAAGGUAACUUUAUAUUUUCUUAAGGCUCUUAUUUUUAGUCAUUAAAAUGACAUAAAUAUUGCACUUUAUUGCAGUAGAAGCAAAUGUUGCAUUCCUAAUGAUUGAGUUAAAUAUUAACAUUUCCUAAGAUUUUUUUUAAAAAUGCCCAUGCACUGAACAUUUAUUAUAAAUCACUACCAUAAAUUCCCUACUAAAGAAAUAUGGGGGAGGGGGGAAUUCAGAGAUUUUACAACAGAGAACAAGGAAGGGAAAAGCCUAAAUACCAGCCAUUUAUAACACUGAAAUAACAAGCAUAGUCAAAAUAAUGAAAGUUCACAAAGAAGUUUAACCAACAUAAGGACUUAUUUGGCUAACUGUUAUGGUAAAAUAAGUCAUUGUUCUAAAUCUCCUAAUAAAUUUUGGGGCCCUGUUUAUUGCACUAAAUUCUGAUAAAAAUACUUUUUGAAAUUUUGUAAACUAUUCAUCAAAAGGAUAAGGUUGAGAAACACUGGUGUAAUGUAAUGAACUAACUGUGACUAUGCAAUAGUCAGCAUCACUUCUUGGAGCCUUCCCCAGCCGUUCAUUGUGCUGGCAGAGGCUGCUUGAGGGUGGAAGCCCAAUGUAUGCUGAAGCAUAAAAUAGAGGAAGGUUGAGUUUCCGAUCCUGUUCCCAUGACAUGAUUAACCUCAUCCAUGCGCCAGGUUAUACUCACCAUCCAUUGUCAGUGGAUCGGUCCAUGGGCUGAGAGCCAAUGUUUAAAAUUCUGUUGUUGUUGAGGGGCCGGAACACAUUUUCUGCUUUUCCUUUUUUUCACCCUACAUCAGAGUGAAGAAAUAAAUUUCAAGAAGGGUGUUCUUACCCAUUUAUUAGUCCUUUUUCUGCUAUUCAGUCACAAGAGGGUGGAAACCAAAUCAGCCAUAUAGAUGGAAUGUCUAGGGGAAAAAAACCCUUUCACAGGCCUCUCUAGAAUUUCAUCUCUAUCCAAGGCAAGAUCAGUGUUAAUUAAUCACAUGGUCAGUGGCAACGUGGCUAACCAGAGGGAUUUAAUUUAGUUCUUUGCAAACUUGUUUAUGGCUAGUUUUAAGUCCCUUGUGUCUGGUUGCUAUCUCAGUUAAUCCAUAAGUUAACCCUGUUGGCCAGAUAAGUGUCAUGGGAAAAGGGUCAUUAAUAGUCCUCUCCUUUACUUGUUUCCAGUGAUGCACAUCUUGGGGGAUAGGGCUCCCGUACACCCUAACCUCAUGAGUACUGAAGCCUGGCAACAGAAGACUAGUAAAGAAUAGGGUGUAAUCUGGGAGUACUCUGUCACAUGGGAGUAGAGCAGUGGCAGAUCCAGCUGUGCAACAGUAAUGGUGUUCUAAUAGUACAAGUGGGAUUUUGCAAUAAAUGAAUGAUCUGGCCAAUUUCUCUUACCCAGAAUGUGGCUGCGACAGCAUUGCCAAAUAGUGAAUGAAAGUUUGAUCUCAAUUAUCUAAUCCGACCUUCUCCAACCCAGUACCUUCCAUGCAUGUUGGAUUACAGCUUUUCUCCAUUCCAGACAGCAUACUUUGGCCAUGAUUAAAGUUAUGCAUCAGUUCAUGUGGAGGGUACCAGGCUGAAGCAACCUAAGCUCUGGAGGUUUGGGAAACUUGUUUUGGGAGUAACCUUGAAGCAAUUAUUCAGCUACAGUUGAUAUUAAAGGUAUAAGCUUCAUAAAUCUCUUCGACUGAUGAUUUUGGAAGAAAUAAAGUUAACACUCAUUAGGGAGCAUAAUGAUUUAGAAUGCUAACAAUUUGUGGCAAAAAUAAUAACGGAGAUUUCUUCCUACAAGUGGCUACUGCAGUUAGUUACAUAUAUUCAAGGUGUUUUAAGACAACUUCCCAAAAACCAGUGACCCUACAAAAAAGAAAAAAAAAGUAUUGUGCCAGCAAGUAAGCUACGCAUGCAUAGGAAUGUUAUAAACAUUUUUUCUGUAAACCAAAUAGUGCAAUAUACAUAGGGGAUUUCAAGGAAUGAGAGUAUUAUGAUGCUAUGAGCAAUUUAAUGCCUUGGGUUUAACCAGCUUCCUUUUGUAUUUGUCAUUGUAAUGCUUAAUAUAAUUGGGCAGCUUUAUUUAGCACUUUGACCACUGAAUUAUUUCUGGAAAGUUAAUUAUGCAUUGUUUCUGUUUAAGAUGAAAAAAAGAAUUUGAGGUGUUUUUAUUUUUUUAAGAAAAAAAUAUACAAUAUUUAUCAGCCCUUGCAUACCCAAGAAUUGGUUUGCUGUUUGACGCGAAAACUAGGAAUGCUCACUAAUAUACCUUUUGCUUAUUAAAAAAAAAAACGUAAUAUUUGUACCAACAGUUCACUUUGUACCUGUUUUUCCCCACUAUGCACUCCUUAAAAUAGCCUGGCUUCUUGUUUUCAAUUGGUUAGAUUCUCAGCACCUUUCUUGCUUUCCCUUUUUCUUUUAACUUGCUGUAUCAUAUUCAAAUAUCACACUGUCAAGGUUUGUGUACAUUAAUGGAAAUUUGUAAUGUAUAAAGCUUUUUUGCAUUAUAAGGCUGUACAGGGUCAUUUUGACAGUAAUUAGUAUAUUUCUCUGCAUCUUAUGUUGCAUUGCCAAUUUCUAGUGUAUCCAGUUUGGAAGUAUAUAUAAUCAAAUUAAAACAAAGUUGUCUAUACUCUGCCA